GCCGGCGUAGCUCAGUUGGUAGAGCAACUGAUUUGUAAUCAGUAGGUCACGGGUUCGACUCCUGUCGCCGGCACCA
Molecule: transfer RNA, 76 nt
Filed under: Rhodospirillaceae bacterium
Lineage: Bacteria; Pseudomonadati; Pseudomonadota; Alphaproteobacteria; Rhodospirillales; Rhodospirillaceae
Also listed under: 2 other names
Description: tRNA-Thr
Rfam family: tRNA
About the family: Transfer RNA (tRNA) molecules are approximately 80 nucleotides in length. Their secondary structure includes four short double-helical elements and three loops (D, anti-codon, and T loops).
Source: RNAcentral